Non-coding RNA from Musa acuminata subsp. malaccensis (wild Malaysian banana), 386 nucleotides. Lineage: Eukaryota; Viridiplantae; Streptophyta; Magnoliopsida; Zingiberales; Musaceae. The record is from RefSeq and is a predicted model, not a curated record.
UUCCAGUGACUCCAAUUUGCCAAACCUGCAAUCAAAGUACAAGAUAUGGUGGUAAUAAAAGGAAAAUAGCUCUCGGUAUUUAGUGUUUGGUUGUUGAUGAUGGUCCGUAUUUGAAACAACAGUGUUGUGCAGACUGACAAAUCCUAGAAGAAACAGAUAGAACUCACCAAGCUAUUCUUGCAAGGCCUUGCUCAUGGGAACCAGGAAUCCACCACACUGAUUGGAACCAGUUACAUAAAAGCUAGAUAACACAACAGGUUGAGAAGCAGCACUGCUGCUUCUGCUGUGGACACAAAAAGUAACAGGCAUGGCAAUCGAAAAAAGCAUGCCGUUGGGGAAAAGGAAUUAUCACUUACCUUUCUUUUGUUAUUUGAAAUCCAGAAUUC